Molecule: ribosomal RNA, 435 nt
Filed under: uncultured bacterium
Lineage: Bacteria
Description: partial 16S ribosomal RNA
Rfam family: Bacterial small subunit ribosomal RNA
Source: RNAcentral
AGCGAACGCUGGCGGCAGGCUUAACACAUGCAAGUCGAGCGGGCACUUUCGGGUGUCAGCGGCGGACGGGUGCGUAACGCGAGGGAACGUGCCCUCUGGUUCGGAAUAACUCAGGGAAACUUGAGCUAAUACCGGAUACGCCCUAUUGGGGAAAGGCUUGCUGCCGGAGGAUCGGCCCGCGUCUGAUUAGCUAGUUGGUGAGGUAACGGCUCACCAAGGCGACGAUCAGUAGCUGGUCUGGGAGGAUGAUCAGCCACACUGGGACUGAGACACGGCCCAGACUCCUACGGGAGGCAGCAGUGGGGAAUAUUGGACAAUGGGCGCAAGCCUGAUCCAGCCAUGCCGCGUGAGUGAUGAAGGCCGUAGGGUUGUAAAGCUCUUUUAUCCGGGACGGUAAUGACGGUACCGGAGGAAUAAGCCCCGGCUAACUUCGUG